CCUUGUACACACCGCCCGUCAAGUCAUGGGAGNUUGGGAGUACCCGAAGUCCGCUUAGCUAACGCAAGAGGCGGCGGCCGACGGUAAGCCCGAUGACUGGGACU
Molecule: ribosomal RNA, 104 nt
Filed under: uncultured bacterium
Lineage: Bacteria
Description: partial 16S ribosomal RNA
Source: RNAcentral